This 833-nucleotide ribosomal RNA is filed under the name Sarea resinae. RNAcentral describes it as "SSU rRNA". It matches the Rfam family "Bacterial small subunit ribosomal RNA", at positions 367 to 1212 of the family's 1533-position model. The record is from RNAcentral. Lineage: Eukaryota; Fungi; Ascomycota; Sareomycetes; Sareales; Zythiaceae.
GUCAAUAGCCUAACGGCUGAACCAGCAAUUUGGGGGAAUGUAUAGUAUAUGCUAAUUGUAUUUUAUAUACAAUAUCGACUAUGUCGAAUAAAGUUCUAGAUAGAAUACUGAUAAUGACAAUUUUCUAUCUAUAUGUCUUGACCAAAUCACGUGCCAGCAGUCGCGGUAAUACGUGGAAGACUAGUGUUAUUCAUCUUUAAUAGGUUUAAAGGGUACCUAGACGGUAUUUCUAGCCCAAAAAGGGUACGGAUUUACUAGAGUUUAAUAUAAGAAGAAAAAAUUAAUGAGGAUCGGUUUAGAUAUAUUAUCUGGUAUAGGGCCGCCGAUAAUCAUUUUGUAGUACUUGAAGUGUAGAGAUAAAAUUUUGUAAUAUUUUAAGGAAACUGGUAAUGCGAAAGCAACCUUCUAUGUAUAAACUGACGUUGAGGGACGAAGGCUUGGGUCGCGAAUAGGAUUAGAUACCCUAGUAGUCCAAGCAGAAAAUUAUGAAUGUCAUAGAUCAGAUUUAUUUUGGUUUAUAAAUGAAAGUGUAAGCAUUCCACCUCAAGAGUAAUGCGGCAACGCAGGAACUGAAAUCAUUAGACCGUUUCUGAAACCAGUAGUGAAGUAUGUUAUUUAAUUCGAUAAUCCGCGAAAAACCUUACCACAAUUUGAAUAUUAAAAAAUACAAGCGCUGCACGGCUGUCUUCAGUUAAUGUCGUGAGAUUUUGGUUAGUUCCAUUAAAUUAACGUAAACCCUUGCUUUAUUUAUAAUAGUUAUAUAAAGUAGUUCACCGCUAUAUUGGAUAUGAUAAAAGGGAAUAAGACAAGUCAUCAUGGCCUUAAUAUUGUGG